UACGGGGGGGGCAAGCGUUGUUCGGAAUUACUGGGCGUAAAGGGUUCGUAGGUGGCUUGCUAAGUCAGACGUGAAAUCCCCGGGCUCAACCUGGGAACUGCAUUUGUGACUGCACGGCUGGAGUGCGGCAGAGGGGGAUGGAAUUCCGCGUGUAGCAGUGAAAUGCGUAGAUAUGCGGAGGAACACCGAUGGCGAAGGCAAUCCCCUGGGCCUGCACUGACGCUCAUGCACGAAAGCGUGGGGAGCAAACAGG
This 253-nucleotide ribosomal RNA is filed under the name uncultured bacterium. RNAcentral describes it as "partial 16S ribosomal RNA". It matches the Rfam family "Bacterial small subunit ribosomal RNA", at positions 524 to 776 of the family's 1533-position model. The record is from RNAcentral.